This 494-nucleotide long non-coding RNA is filed under the name Mizuhopecten yessoensis (Yesso scallop). RNAcentral describes it as "uncharacterized LOC110450308, transcript variant X2". Lineage: Eukaryota; Metazoa; Mollusca; Bivalvia; Pectinida; Pectinidae. The record is from RNAcentral.
AAGAUAGCUAACACACUAGUCGAACUCAUUAUCAGGAUCUGUUUAGUCCUUAUCUUAACAUUUCAGACAUCGUUUAAUACAAUAGUGUAUUUUCAAGCAACGUUUUGAAGAUGAACAGCUUUCUUACCGUAUGCGUUUUCAUCGUCGUUGGAGCAUCAGUAUGUGAUGGGCAAUGUAGAAUGAUGCGUCCUACUCCAGGUGCAACACCACCUCUUGGAUGUAACUGGAAUGGAACAUUCAUCAGCUUUAUGUCGCAUGCCACCAAACUGUGAAACAUGCUACUGCAACGAGGGAGGUGCUUUGAGUUGCUGCGUCAAUGGUUUUAAUGUCGUUCACGUGCCAGCUGAUUGUAAAAUAGUUCCGGCGGAAGACGGAUGUGGUGACAGGGCUGUGAAACUGGACAAUGAGAACGAGGAUUGUGAUCACGAUGUUGCUGCAAUUAGUCGCCGAGAUUUGCAGUAAUUAAUGGCCAAUACAAUGUUUUGAUCGAUCCA